GUGCCAGCCGCCGCGGUAAUACCGGCAGCCCGAGUGAUGGCCGAUCUUAUUGGGCCUAAAGCGUCCGUAGCUGGCCGACCAAGUCUCCCGGGAAAUCCACCCGCCCAACGGGUGGGCGUCCGGUAGAAACUGGCCGGCUUGGAACCGGAAGGCUCAGAGAGUACGUCCGGGGUAGGAGUGAAAUCCCGUAAUCCCGGACGGACUACCGAUGGCGAAAGCACGUCAGGAAGACGGAUCCGACGGUGAGGGACGAAAGCCAGGGUCUCCAACCGGAUUAGAAACCCCGGUAGUCC
RNAcentral lists this ribosomal RNA (293 nucleotides) under uncultured bacterium. Its description in RNAcentral is "partial 16S ribosomal RNA". It matches the Rfam family "Archaeal small subunit ribosomal RNA", at positions 455 to 747 of the family's 1478-position model. The record is from RNAcentral.